UGCUGUAGAGCCAUGCCUCUAAAUUAUUAAAAUAAAUAAAUCUUACACUAGCCUAAGCUUAGGUAAUGUAUACAACUAAACAGUUCCCUAGUCAGAAGAAUACUUUAAAAAGCUCCUGUAGGAAUAAUGCAUCAUGCCUUUUCUUCUAGGUCUGAGACAGGUCUACAGCAGAAAUUUGAUGGCCGGUUUAAGAGGAGGCUGGUUAAAUAGAGGCCGGAUAAGAGGGAGUCUUCAAGCCAAGUGAGUGUAGUUAGUAGUGUAGUAAAUAUUAUAUCGUCCAUAUUUCAGUCUUGUAUCAUAAAGUACCCCUAGCUUAACUUUUGGUGUCUUCUGUAGUAUAGGAGAAAAAUGUAGCUUUCAUUGUAUUAAGUGAUUAAGAUCGACUGAUCUCACGUAGUCCAUCAAACCCCUUGUUCAUUUCAUGCCCACGAAUGAUCCAGGAGUCCCUUAUAUUUAAGCAGAGCUUUUUCUUAAAUUUUAUUUAUUUUUUAAUUACUUGUUUGUUUAGCAUUUGAUUACUGGGAUAGUCUGAUUGGGAUGACAAGCAUACCCAUUUCAGUUGCGGCUCAGGGAGAAAAGCUCCCAGUUUAUGCACUUUAUACAGUAAUUUUCAUUUACAAAUGCAGAAAUAGCUUUACACAUGACGGACUAUAGAAAUAUAUAAUUCAUUUACAAAUGUAGAAGCAGCUUUACACAUGGCAGACAAUAGGACAUACCUAUACAUUUCAGCUAGAAAAAAUUGCAAAAAAUCAACCUGUUACACAACAGUUUCAAUGAAAAAUACGAAAAAUAAAAGCAUAUUCGGAGCAGAUUAUCAGCAUGCCUUCAAUUCAUUGUAAAGUACAUGAUUUUCAGUGGAAAGACUCUAUGUAAAAGUAGACCAGCAUGGGUGAAGAUUAUAGAAAAACUAAAAAUUAUGGUUUUAAGAGUAUUAACUGUUUGGAGGGAGUUGAAAAAGUUGAAAGAUUUAUUAUUGGGCUCAAAUGGGAACACUAGUAGACAGAGGAUAAUGGUGGUUAGCUAUUCAAAGUGAGGUUAGAGAAAAUGAGACAAAAAUGGUAGAAGGACAGUAGAGAUUGUCAGGAGUAUGACAGGAGCAUAGCCAUUUUGAGAGAAGAUUUUAGUUUUAUAUAGGUGUAUCUAGUGUGUGUGCAUAAAAGGUUUGUAUAGCAAGGGGGUACCUUUGUGCUUAAGCCAAAAUAGAAAUAGUAUAAUGUUGCAGUGUACAAUGAAAAUAUGACUGGGCUCCUAACGUCUAAGUUAAUUUAUGUUCUAGCAUCGAUUAAAAAAAAAAAAAAAAAAAAAAAAAAAAAAA
Long non-coding RNA from Protopterus annectens (West African lungfish), 1315 nucleotides. RefSeq lists it as uncharacterized. The transcript is spliced from 2 exons. NCBI's taxonomy places the organism in Eukaryota, Metazoa, Chordata, Ceratodontiformes, Protopteridae. The record is from RefSeq and is a predicted model, not a curated record.